RNAcentral lists this ribosomal RNA (496 nucleotides) under uncultured bacterium. RNAcentral describes it as "partial 16S ribosomal RNA". It matches the Rfam family "Bacterial small subunit ribosomal RNA", at positions 28 to 506 of the family's 1533-position model. The record is from RNAcentral.
GAUGAACGCUGGCGGCGUGCCUAAUACAUGCAAGUCGAGCGAACAGACGAGGAGCUUGCUCCUCUGACGUUAGCGGCGGACGGGUGAGUAACACGUGGAUAACCUACCUAUAAGACUGGGAUAACUUCGGGAAACCGGAGCUAAUACCGGAUAAUAUAUUGAACCGCAUGGUUCAAUAGUGAAAGACGGUUUUGCUGUCACUUAUAGAUGGAUCCGCGCCGCAUUAGCUAGUUGGUAAGGUAACGGCUUACCAAGGCAACGAUGCGUAGCCGACCUGGGAGGGUGAUCGGCCACACUGGAACUGAGACACGGUCCAGACUCCUACGGGAGGCAGCAGUAGGGAAUCUUCCGCAAUGGGCGAAAGCCUGACGGAGCAACGCCGCGUGAGUGAUGAAGGUCUUCGGAUCGUAAAACUCUGUUAUUAGGGAAGAACAAAUGUGUAAGUAACUAUGCACGUCUGGACGGUACCUAAUCAGAAAGCCACGGCGAACUACGU